This 253-nucleotide ribosomal RNA is filed under the name uncultured bacterium. RNAcentral's name for it is "partial 16S ribosomal RNA". It matches the Rfam family "Bacterial small subunit ribosomal RNA", at positions 524 to 776 of the family's 1533-position model. The record is from RNAcentral.
UACGGAGGGUGCAAGCGUUAUCCGGAUUCACUGGGCUUAAAGGGUGCGUAGGCGGCUAUAUAAGUCAGUGGUGAAAGCCCGCAGCUCAACUGCGGAACUGCCAUUGAAACUGCAUAGCUUGAAUCUGGUUGAAGUGGGCGGAAUACAUCAUGUAGCGGUGAAAUGCUUAGAUAUGAUGUAGAACACCGAUUGCGAAGGCAGCUCACUAAGCCAACAUUGACGCUGAGGCACGAAAGCGUGGGUAGCGAACAGG